CUGGCUCAGGAUGAACGCUAGCUACAGGCUUAACACAUGCAAGUCGAGGGGCAGCAUGAAGGUAGCAAUACCUUUGAUGGCGACCGGCGCACGGGUGCGUAACACGUAUCCAAUCUACCCAUUGCUCGGGGAUAGCUUUUCGAAAGAAAGAUUAAUACCUGAUGGUCUGUCAGUGAGACAUCUCGCAGGCAGUAAAGAUUUAUCGGCGAUGGAUGAGGAUGCGUCCGAUUAGCUGGUUGGCGGGUAACGGCCCACCAAGGCGACGAUCGGUAGGGGUUCUGAAAGGAAGGUCCCCCACACUGGAACUGAGACACGGUCCAGACUCCUACGGGAGGCAGCAGUGAGGAAUAUUGGUCAAUGGGCGAGAGCCUGAACCAGCCAAGUAGCGUGAGGGGAAUGACUGCCCUACGGGUUGUAAACCUCUUUUGCAGGGGAAUAAAGUGCCGCACGUGCCUGCCGGUUUUGUAUGUACCUUGCGAAUAAGCAUCGGCUAAUUCCGUGCCAGCCGCGGC
Molecule: ribosomal RNA, 512 nt
Filed under: uncultured bacterium
Lineage: Bacteria
Description: bacterial SSU rRNA
Rfam family: Bacterial small subunit ribosomal RNA
Source: RNAcentral